GGCUGCUUCCCACAAGAGAACUGCCUCCUCCACACCACCUCCUGAGCCGGCUGAGCCAGAAGCAGAUGCAGCACCUGCUGGAGACAAUUCAGAAGAGCAGUCUUAAACAAGCAAACCAUGGUUUCUUACAUAAUUACUUUCUCAUCAAAUUGUUAUAUAAAAGUUUUAUUUUGAUUCUGCAAAUGGCGCCAUCAUUUUGAAGAUUGUUGUCUAAUUGUUUACAAAAUUACUGAAUUCAAUAUAUUGAACUUUGUAUUAGUUUUGCCAAAUUC
Molecule: unclassified non-coding RNA, 272 nt
Filed under: Hevea brasiliensis (rubber tree)
Lineage: Eukaryota; Viridiplantae; Streptophyta; Magnoliopsida; Malpighiales; Euphorbiaceae
Source: RNAcentral